This 468-nucleotide ribosomal RNA is filed under the name uncultured bacterium. RNAcentral describes it as "partial 16S ribosomal RNA". It matches the Rfam family "Bacterial small subunit ribosomal RNA", at positions 28 to 507 of the family's 1533-position model. The record is from RNAcentral.
GACGAACGCUGGCGGCGUGCUUAACACAUGCAAGUCGAACGGAAAGGCCCUGCUUUUGUGGGGUGCUCGAGUGGCGAACGGGUGAGUAACACGUGAGUAACCUGCCCUUGACUUUGGGAUAACUUCAGGAAACUGGGGCUAAUACCGGAUAGGAGCUCCUGCUGCAUGGUGGGGGUUGGAAAGUUUCGGCGGUUGGGGAUGGACUCGCGGCUUAUCAGCUUGUUGGUGGGGUAGUGGCUUACCAAGGCUUUGACGGGUAGCCGGCCUGAGAGGGUGACCGGCCACAUUGGGACUGAGAUACGGCCCAGACUCCUACGGGAGGCAGCAGUGGGGAAUAUUGCACAAUGGGCGGAAGCCUGAUGCAGCAACGCCGCGUGCGGGAUGACGGCCUUCGGGUUGUAAACCGCUUUCGCCUGUGACGAAGCGUGAGUGACGGUAAUGGGUAAAGAAGCACGGGCUAACUAGGUG